UUAAAGAUGACCUGUUUUUUAAACACACAUGGAGUUUUCUCUCUGCUGUCACCUUCCAGCAUGAAAGGUUUGUUUUAAGAAAGCCUUACAGUGCCAAUCCCCCGUGCACCUUCCCUCUCUUCUGUCUGCUUUAAGCUCCUUACAGGUCUUAUGUGAUGUCAGCCAUAAUACUUUUCCUCCUUUUGGGUCUGCCUUGAAGAUACAGUGAUGUGUUGUUUGUGGUGGAACAACAAUAACAAAGUAAAAAUAAUUGGUUUUCUUGUUCUUACAGCAGUGGAAAAGUGAAUCCCAUUUCAUCUACCAGAGCAAAAGAUGUUUGAAGGUAGAACCAGAGUGUGCUUUCCUCUUGGGGAUGAAGGGAUAAAAGCAACCAGGAGUGGGACAACAGUCCCACUUACUUUGUGAUGCUGCCAUGGAACCCCAUCACCAAGGGAACAAAAGGGAUGUGGGAUGAUGCUCUCCCCACAGGCUUUCUCUUCUUCAGUGCUUCUUGGACACCUGAGCAUUCAGGAGCACCACUGAUCUGCCAAGAUUUUCAGGAGACCAAUAAUCAGUCUAAAUCAGCCGUGGGAAUGCCAUGGCUUUGGUUUGGAAUCUGUCAAGGAAGGCCAUGCAGUCGGGAAGUUUAACCUCAAAUCAGAUCAACGCAGAAACAGAAGCAAGCUUUGGUGACAGCAAGGCUUAUUCAGAGAAGAAGGAGAAUGUGAAUUAUUCAGCCAUCUCCACAGGAUAUUUUCCAUAUUACAGAUCAAAUGAGGAGCACUUUGUCCAGCCUCUCUUAUAUGGCUUAAAUGCAGAGGGAGAGAAGCCUGAAAGCAACUGGAAAGAUGAAGCAGAAGGUGAAUGUGCAGAGCUUGGUGGAGAUGCUGAGAAGACCACCCACCCAGCUCUGGGGGCAGAGAGGACGCUGUGUUCUUCCAUGGCCAAUGUAGAGCCAACAUCCCAGCAGCUCCUGGGAGGCAGCACCUUAGGAAGCUGCCUGCCAACCUUCUCCCUCUCCACCUCACUGCCAAGCCUGGACUGGCGCUUUUCUUCCACUGGAUACGUCCCUUACUACAGAACAGAAGCAGAGCUCUGCAUUGGCCCAUCAACGUGUGACAAGUUUCUCACCAGGACAGAAAUUUUGGAGAACAAAGAGGGAAGAUGGGGAGAAGAAAAAAACACUUGGAAUUUUGGUGCUGGCUGCUUGGUGUCCUGAGAAAAAAGCAGCAAGUUUGUCAGCAAAAGGCAGAAACUGGUUUAACAUUGACAUGAAUUAGAAAUUCUUGAAAGCCAUAGCCACGUGAACAUCUGUAUGAAUAUGGAAUAUACUUCUCCCUUUGAAUAAAACAGUAAGUGAGAAGCUGGACUCUGUAAUGACAGCAGAAAGCAGCAGGGAAAUGUCUGAUGGGGAAAAUUUGCUCUAGAAAACAUGAUGAAGGAGAAGGGUAAAGAUCAGAACUGUGUUUUUCUAUGGCUGUUCCCUGAAGAGAACUUGCUCCCUCCCAGCCAAGAGUAGAGGAACUCCCAGGACCUCUUGGUCAGAGUGAAUCCCCCCAGUAACACAGAAUUGGCACAGAAUUCCCUGAUUCUCCUGCAGAACCCACGUUCUGCCAUGCUGGUUGGGACAUGGAUACACAUUUUGUGCAGCUGCAUUCAAGACCCAGUGAGAGAGGUGACCACACAGAUAAGGGGAGAAAAUUCCCGUGUUUACAAAGAUGAAAGAUAGUAAAUCCAUUCACAAAGUCAGCAAAUAAUCUGCAAAUUGAAAAUGUCCUUUUUGCCUUUUAUCCAUACCUGCUGUUCCCCCAGUAUAGACUGUGCAGGGCCAACGGUGACCUCUUGUUCAUGGGAAUGUGUGACAGCUGUGAAACGACAGUGCCAAUGCAGAAGGGAUGUGCAGCCAUGGGAAACGGCCAGCGGGAAGAAAUAAGAAUUAUUUGAAUCUAAGCUGCUUGGAGGAAUUAAGCAGAGACAUAAUUUCCAGUAGGAAUUGGGAAAUACAUUUCCUCUCCCCUCCACUACAAUCCUUCCAUUGUAUUAAUGGCAUCUGUUAGACAACAGUCGUACACAAGAGAAAAAAAGCAUUUUUAUUUAAAAUCUUUGUCAGUAAAAUUUUUUGAGCGCAUUUCCAUUAUGUCUGUCUUCAUUUCACUUGCACAGUCAGUAAUGAAAAUGUUCCUGAUUACUUUAAUAUGUGCAACUAUAGGCUUCCAUAGUGUUGACUGUGGAAGACCUGACAACAGCAUCCAGGAGCAACUUGACGUUGGUGAAGCUUCGCUGAUUUACACCAGAUGAGGAUCUGUCCAGAAAAGCACAGCUCAGUGUUUUCUUUGCAAUUGAGAAACGUUGCAACACGCUCCCCUUACUGCCAACUAUGUCACCUCUUUCAGACACCACACAAGUUGAUGAAACACGUCUUUUCCCAUUCCUGCUACGUGUGCAGACAACUUCUCUUCAAAAUAGACCCACUCCAACUAUUUAGUGCGUCUGUGAGUGCUUCUGUCAUGAUCACAGGUCAGUGGCAGUAGUCUCAAAUGGAUCUUUUUGGUUGAGUUGGUGCCAGCUCAUCCCAGUGUCCACAAGCAGCUGGCUGGGUUGGAAAUGGGAACACAGGUAGGGCAGCCAGUGUGGCUUCCCCAUCCACAGCCCUUUGCCUGGUCUCAUCCUGCCACUGGUCCUCUUCAGCCAUCACCUUCCCAAUUACUAAGAACUCUGGCUGAACCGAGUGAGGCUGUAUGGAAGAGGUUUUAAACACAAAGGUUUAUGCAUUGGGUGCAUUGAAACGAGGUCAUGCCAAAUAUCUGGGGUUGUCUGAAUUCAACAGAGCAGAGAAGGGAAGGAAUUCUGCCUUGAAAUUGGGUGUGAUUUAUUCUGAGAAUAUUAAAUUCAGUGUUCCUAUACAUUCAGCGUGUUAAAAUAGCUCACACUAUGUAAUACCAAAUCCACAAAUCUCUCUUAUUUCCACUAUGUAGAAAAUAGCUGCUUUCUAUUGGCUGUACGUGGUAAUUUAUGAGAAUGGCCAACAUCUGAAAUCAAGGAUUUGGAAGAUGAGAAUAUUACAAGCUUUACCCUUCUGGAUCAGAAGAGUCUAGUUUUAAGCAAAUGCCAGCAAAUAUCAUAUCAUAUGAUGCCAUCUGGAAAGCGGAGCUGAACUCAUGAUUUUAAUAUAUUUUCCAUACAGCUUUGCUCCGAGUAGAAAGGAUGGGAGGCAGCGUUGGAUGUUCCUGUGAUUCUCUCUGAGGCUUACGCCGCUUUAUUACUUUUCCACAUAGUUAACAUCCUGUACACGGACUGCAAGUGAUUUUUCUCAAAGUGAUCGGAGGAUUGGAUUGCUGCCUUCAAGAAGACGUGGUGUACCUUUGCCCUAAGAGUGUGCUGGAAACAACAAACUAUUGGGUUCAGCCCAGCAUACCGACACCGUAUUUCCUUUCAUCUCUCGAUUUGAAAAAUUCAUAAUUAUUGCUCUAAACCCGCAGCACUUCGACAUUACUGCUCUUCUGGAGUCUGCAAAAACAAUCCGCAGUGACUUUGAUGCACGCUGUGUAGUCUUCGUUGAUCCCAUUUAAGCUUUUAAUCUCGCGAAUACACAAAGUUAAUUCAUGAAACAAAACAAACAAACCGCAGCAAAAGAUGCGCUUUCAUAACAAAAGCGUAACUGUGGGGAUUUAUUACAAUGCAGGUUCUUCUUUCUCAAUCGCUGAUGUUAGAUUUUCAUUUGGAAAGGAGGAAAUGGGACUCGGUCACAGUGUUUGUUAAUCCGCCUGCCCUUAGGGAAAAGCUGACUUCAAAGUCAGUGGAAAGGUUCGCACAGACAGUGCAGGGUGUGGAAUUUCUCUGGAAUCAGCUAAAAGGUUCCUUCUCCAGUCAAGUACUUCAGCCCUUCAUUUCUUGACCCAGAGCAUCCUAAAAUCUUUGACAACGCUCUCUCAGCCUCAGCCAGGUUGGGCCUGGGCUUCCAGUUACCCCACCUGGUGCAAAGCAGCAGCUGAAAAGUUCACUCACUAUAAACCUGAACCCCUCCAGAUGCUGUUUUAGGGAGAAAAUGAUCUCACCACUGUUAGGUAUCGGUAGUGCCUCCUGCCCCAGUGGCUGUGGCUAGCUGAGCUCUCUUCCCUCUCCAAAACCUAAUUAUGUUGGUAUAUAUGACUUCAUAACUUUACUUGGAGCUCUGUUCAAGAUGAUGCUUUUGGCAAGGAGCACCUACCAGAGAGGAGCAGAGCCAGGCGUUAAACAAAGGAGCUUACACAGGGCCCUUCCCAGCAAAGCAAUGGGCAGGGAUGGAAGUGACUCAUGGACAUGAAACAAGCUGGCUUCCAUUCAGAACCUAUUUACAGGGAGCGAUGAGAGGAUACCUGGAAGUGGUAAA
This is a long non-coding RNA of Tympanuchus pallidicinctus (lesser prairie-chicken), 4348 nucleotides long. RefSeq lists it as uncharacterized. NCBI's taxonomy places the organism in Eukaryota, Metazoa, Chordata, Aves, Galliformes, Phasianidae. The transcript has 5 exons. The record is from RefSeq and is a predicted model, not a curated record.